RNAcentral lists this ribosomal RNA (498 nucleotides) under uncultured bacterium. Its description in RNAcentral is "partial 16S ribosomal RNA". It matches the Rfam family "Bacterial small subunit ribosomal RNA", at positions 28 to 523 of the family's 1533-position model. The record is from RNAcentral.
GUUGAACGCUGGCGGCAUGCCUUACACAUGCAAGUCGAACGGUAACAGGUCUUCGGAUGCUGACGAGUGGCGAACGGGUGAGUAAUACCUCGGAACGUGCCCGAUCGUGGGGGAUAACGCAGCGAAAGCUGUGCUAAUACCGCAUACGAUCUACGGAUGAAAGCGGGGGAUAUUCGGACCUCGCGAGGACGGAGCGGCCGAUGGCAGAUUAGGUAGUUGGUGAGGUAAAGGCUCACCAAGCCGACGAUCUGUAGCUGGUCUGAGAGGACGACCAGCCACGCUGGGACUGAGACACGGCCCAGACUCCUACGGGAGGCAGCAGUGGGUAAUUUUGGACAAUGGGCGCAAGCCUGAUCCAGCCAUGCCGCGUGCAAGAUGAAGGCCUUCGGGUUGUAAACUGCUUUUGUACGGAACGAAAAGGUUCUUUCUAAUAAAGGGAGCUCAUGACGGUACCGUAAGAAUAAGCACCGGCUAACUACGUGCCAGCAGCCGCCGUAA